Molecule: ribosomal RNA, 1428 nt
Filed under: Lacticaseibacillus rhamnosus
Lineage: Bacteria; Bacillati; Bacillota; Bacilli; Lactobacillales; Lactobacillaceae
Description: bacterial SSU rRNA
Rfam family: Bacterial small subunit ribosomal RNA
Source: RNAcentral
ACGAGUUCUGAUUAUUGAAAGGUGCUUGCAUCUUGAUUUAAUUUUGAACGAGUGGCGGACGGGUGAGUAACACGUGGGUAACCUGCCCUUAAGUGGGGGAUAACAUUUGGAAACAGAUGCUAAUACCGCAUAAAUCCAAGAACCGCAUGGUUCUUGGCUGAAAGAUGGCGUAAGCUAUCGCUUUUGGAUGGACCCGCGGCGUAUUAGCUAGUUGGUGAGGUAACGGCUCACCAAGGCAAUGAUACGUAGCCGAACUGAGAGGUUGAUCGGCCACAUUGGGACUGAGACACGGCCCAAACUCCUACGGGAGGCAGCAGUAGGGAAUCUUCCACAAUGGACGCAAGUCUGAUGGAGCAACGCCGCGUGAGUGAAGAAGGCUUUCGGGUCGUAAAACUCUGUUGUUGGAGAAGAAUGGUCGGCAGAGUAACUGUUGUCGGCGUGACGGUAUCCAACCAGAAAGCCACGGCUAACUACGUGCCAGCAGCCGCGGUAAUACGUAGGUGGCAAGCGUUAUCCGGAUUUAUUGGGCGUAAAGCGAGCGCAGGCGGUUUUUUAAGUCUGAUGUGAAAGCCCUCGGCUUAACCGAGGAAGUGCAUCGGAAACUGGGAAACUUGAGUGCAGAAGAGGACAGUGGAACUCCAUGUGUAGCGGUGAAAUGCGUAGAUAUAUGGAAGAACACCAGUGGCGAAGGCGGCUGUCUGGUCUGUAACUGACGCUGAGGCUCGAAAGCAUGGGUAGCGAACAGGAUUAGAUACCCUGGUAGUCCAUGCCGUAAACGAUGAAUGCUAGGUGUUGGAGGGUUUCCGCCCUUCAGUGCCGCAGCUAACGCAUUAAGCAUUCCGCCUGGGGAGUACGACCGCAAGGUUGAAACUCAAAGGAAUUGACGGGGGCCCGCACAAGCGGUGGAGCAUGUGGUUUAAUUCGAAGCAACGCGAAGAACCUUACCAGGUCUUGACAUCUUUUGAUCACCUGAGAGAUCAGGUUUCCCCUUCGGGGGCAAAAUGACAGGUGGUGCAUGGUUGUCGUCAGCUCGUGUCGUGAGAUGUUGGGUUAAGUCCCGCAACGAGCGCAACCCUUAUGACUAGUUGCCAGCAUUUAGUUGGGCACUCUAGUAAGACUGCCGGUGACAAACCGGAGGAAGGUGGGGAUGACGUCAAAUCAUCAUGCCCCUUAUGACCUGGGCUACACACGUGCUACAAUGGAUGGUACAACGAGUUGCGAGACCGCGAGGUCAAGCUAAUCUCUUAAAGCCAUUCUCAGUUCGGACUGUAGGCUGCAACUCGCCUACACGAAGUCGGAAUCGCUAGUAAUCGCGGAUCAGCACGCCGCGGUGAAUACGUUCCCGGGCCUUGUACACACCGCCCGUCACACCAUGAGAGUUUGUAACACCCGAAGCCGGUGGCGUAACCCUUUUAGGGAGCGAGCCGU